UCACAGAGAAAUAAUCAUAAUCUGAAACUGAUGCCAAAGGAUACUGUUAGAAACAAGCUGGAGAAAACAGCUGUAUCAGCGAACUGCCAGAACUUUAAGACUACAUGGCCUAUUUCUUGUAGCAGCCUGGCUGCUAAUCAGCCUCUUCUCUACCCUCUUCAUGUCAACGGAGGACUCACAGAAGAUACCCAAGCCCAGAGGUGGUCAUUACAGUCCUCCAUAUAGGGCUUUCAGAGGGAGGUAGCUCUACAGACUCCAAGUUGCAGAGGGUGGGGUAGAACUGGAAGCCUGUAUGUAGCAUUCUACAGCUGCAGGAAGGGUCUUAGCUCCAUGUCCCAUGCAUGCUGUUAUUCAACGUCUGGGCUUGGCUAAUGAGCCAGAAGAUUUGUAUGUCUGAGAUGAAAUUUUUCACCUUAUCUGUGGAGGCCCA
Mauremys reevesii (Reeves's turtle) is the source of this 430-nucleotide long non-coding RNA. RefSeq lists it as uncharacterized. The record is from RefSeq and is a predicted model, not a curated record. Lineage: Eukaryota; Metazoa; Chordata; Testudines; Geoemydidae. The transcript has 3 exons.